AUGAAGAUGGCGACUUGCAUUCGUAAGGUGGCCUCGGAGGAGUUUGGAGUGUCCAGGCAAAGGAGAAGCGAAGCUAAGGAUACCUGGUGGUGGAAUGAUGAUGUCCACAAGGCGAUUAAGGAGAAGAAAGAUUGUUUCAGACGCCUAUACCUGGAUAGGAGUGCAGACAACAUAGAGAAGUACAAGAUGGCGAAGAAGGCCGCAAAGCGAGCUGUCAGUGAAGCAAGGGGUCGGGCGUAUGAGGACCUCUACCAACGGCUAGGCACGAAGGAAGAUGAAAGGGACAUCUAUAAGAUGGCCAAGAUCCCCGAGAGGAAGACGGGGGAUGUUGGCCAAGUCAGAUGCAUCAAGAACGAAGCAGACCAACUCCUGGUUAAGGACGAGGAGAUUAAGCAUAGAUGGCUGGAGUACUUCGACAAGUUGUUCAAUGGGAAGAAUGAGAGUUCUACCGUUGAACUGGACGACUCCUUUGAUGAGACCAACAUGCAUAGAGUCUGA
Molecule: ribosomal RNA, 498 nt
Filed under: Triticum aestivum (bread wheat)
Lineage: Eukaryota; Viridiplantae; Streptophyta; Magnoliopsida; Poales; Poaceae
Description: partial small subunit ribosomal RNA
Source: RNAcentral